GGACUACAGGGGUUUCUAAUCCCGUUCGCUCCCCUAGCUUUCGCACAUGAGCGUCAGAUAUGAGCCAGGAUGCUGCCUUCGCCUUUGGUGUUCUUCCAGAUCUCUACGCAUUUCACCGCUCCACCUGGAAUUCCGCAUCCCUCUCUCACCCUCAAGUUUCCCCGUUUUCCAAGGCCUGUGGGAGUUGAGCCCCCACCUGUCACUCGAAACGUAAGAAACCGCCUGCGUGCGCUUUACGCCCAAUAAAUCCGGACAACGCUUGCCCCCUACGUAUUACCGCGGCGGCUGGCAC
Molecule: ribosomal RNA, 292 nt
Filed under: uncultured bacterium
Lineage: Bacteria
Description: partial 16S ribosomal RNA
Source: RNAcentral